UACGUAGGGUGCAAGCGUUAAUCGGAAUUAUUGGGCGUAAAGCGUGCGCAGGCGGUUUUGUAAGUCUGUCGUGAAAUCCCCGGGCUCAACCUGGGAAUGGCGAUGGAGACUGCAAGGCUGGAAUCUGGCAGAGGGGGGUAGAAUUCCACGUGUAGCAGUGAAAUGCGUAGAGAUGUGGAGGAACACCGAUGGCGAAGGCAGCCCCCUGGGCUAAGAUUGACGCUCAUGCACGAAAGCGUGGGGAGCAAACAGG
This 253-nucleotide ribosomal RNA is filed under the name uncultured bacterium. RNAcentral's name for it is "partial 16S ribosomal RNA". It matches the Rfam family "Bacterial small subunit ribosomal RNA", at positions 524 to 776 of the family's 1533-position model. The record is from RNAcentral.